AGCGAACGUUUGCGGCGGGCUUAACACAUGCAAGUCGAACGAGAAUCCCUUCGGGGAGGAAAGUGGCGCACGGGUGCGUAACACGUGGAUAACCAACCCAUUGGUUUGGGACAACACCGGGAAACUGGUGCUAAUACCAGAUGUGUCGCAGCUGUCUUCAGGCGGUUGCGAGAAAGGCCCGCAAGGGUCGCCAACGGACGGGUCCGCGUCCCAUCAGCUAGUUGGUGAGGUAAUGGCUCACCAAGGCAAAGACGGGUAGCUGGUCUGAGAGGAUGAUCAGCCACACUGGAACUGAGACACGGUCCAGACUCCUACGGGAGGCAGCAGUGGGGAAUAUUGCGCAAUGGGCGAAAGCCUGACGCAGCCACGCCGCGUGAGCGAUGAAGGUCUUCGGAUCGUAAAGCUCUGUGGGGGGAGAAGAAGAAAGCCGGUGAAGAGCCGGCCCUGACGGUAUCCCCUUAGCAAGCACCGGCUAACUCCGUGCCAGCAGCCGCGGUAAAGUAGACG
RNAcentral lists this ribosomal RNA (507 nucleotides) under uncultured bacterium. RNAcentral's name for it is "bacterial SSU rRNA". It matches the Rfam family "Bacterial small subunit ribosomal RNA", at positions 29 to 531 of the family's 1533-position model. The record is from RNAcentral.